AGUGAACGCUGGCGGCAGGCCUAACACAUGCAAGUCGAACGGCAGCACAGUAAGAGCUCGCUUCUACGGGUGGCGAGUGGCGGAUGGGUGAGGCAUACAUCGGCAUCUACUUUUUCGUGGGGGACAACGUAGGGCCACUUCCGCUAAUACCGCAUAUGUCCUACGGGUGAAAGCAGGGGAUCUUCGGACCUUGCGCGACUGUAUGAGCCGAUGUCGGAUUAGCUAGUUGGCGAGGUAAAGGCCCACCAAGGCGACGAUCCGUAGCUGGUCUGAGAGGAUGAUCGGCCACACUGGAACUGAGACACGGUCCAGACUCCUACGGGAGGCAGCAGUAGGGAAUAUUGGGCAAUGGGCGAAAGCCUGAUUCAGCAAUGCCGCGUGAGUGAAGAAGGUCUUCGGAUUGUAAAGCCCUGUUAUUAGGGAAGAAAAGCAGCAUAUGAAUACCCCGCUGUUCUGACGGUACCCAAAGAGUAAGCACCGGCUAACUUCGUG
This 492-nucleotide ribosomal RNA is filed under the name uncultured bacterium. RNAcentral describes it as "partial 16S ribosomal RNA". It matches the Rfam family "Bacterial small subunit ribosomal RNA", at positions 29 to 507 of the family's 1533-position model. The record is from RNAcentral.